RNAcentral lists this unclassified non-coding RNA (303 nucleotides) under plant metagenome. Its description in RNAcentral is "partial contains 5.8S ribosomal RNA, internal transcribed spacer 2, and large subunit ribosomal RNA". The stretch from base 1 to 104 matches the Rfam family "5.8S ribosomal RNA", at positions 51 to 154 of the family's 154-position model. The record is from RNAcentral.
AAAUGCGAUAAGUAAUGUGAAUUGCAGAAUUCAGUGAAUCAUCGAAUCUUUGAACGCACAUUGCGCCCGCCAGUAUUCUGGCGGGCAUGCCUGUUCGAGCGUCAUUUCAACCAUCAAGCCCCCCGGCUUGUGUUGGGGACCUGCGGCUGUCGCAGGCCCUGAAAAGCAGUGGCGGGCUCGCUGUCACACCGAGCGUAGUAGCAUACAUCUCGCUCUGGGCGUGCUGCGGGUUCCGGCCGUUAAACCACCUUCGUAACCCAAGGUUGACCUCGGAUCAGGUAGGAAGACCCGCUGAACUUAAGC